CAUAAAAUGAGGCGUAAUAGUUAGUAUCAUUGUUUCUUCUUUUCCUUUUUGCGAAAAGUAUCCCUUGUGCUCUUCUUUCAAUUGUUGCUAAUGUUUCAGUCCUUCAUUGGCUUGUGUUUUCACUCUUUUAAUCUUUCUUGUUAGAACAACUAUAUAUCUUUGUGGUCUUGGCAAUGAUGUCAUAUUGUCAACUAUGCAGGGAUUUGAAAUUAUCAACCUGAUUAUUGUUGUGAAGCGCUGCCUACAGGUUAGGAAAAAUUGGCUCAUUCAAGUCUUACAAUUUAAUUAGUUGGAUUCUUUUUUUCCUUCUAAGGAAACAUUUUCUAUCUUUUAAAGUUUUAAAAUUAUAUUAGUAUAUUAUUAAUUGUUUAGAUAUUCUGCGGGCAUCUCUUGGGCUUGCAAAAGAUCUUAAUGCUAUUUGAUUGCACUUAGAGGGACUCAUGAAAGCAGGUUUUGCCUAUACUGGUGCUUCAUAUUUUUAUCAAUUGUAUGAUUACAUGUUUUACCUCAACUUUGAUGCUUGAAUUAAAUCGUUUCAGUACUAUCUUCUUCUAUGAAAGAGUAAAAACACGAAAUUGGUUUCACUCCUUGCCUUAAUAUGCAUCAUCUUUAUGAUGCCCGAGGGCUUAAGUUCCGCAGUGCUGCCAAAACUUAGUCAAGUGUUUCAAGUAUGAAACAUAAAGGAAAAUUAUAUGGGAUUAUAAAAAAUAAAUGACUAAUGCCAUUAAUAAAAAUAAACUAAUUUAUUUAAAACAGAAUCAUGGAUUCAAUAAAUUUUGACAUAAAACAAAAAAUACUUCAAUGAUAAUCACUUAAAUACACAAGCAAAAGAAAAAAAAUCCCAUCAACUUAUUUUCACGCUGGAUCUGGUUUAGGAUCAUUCCAACACUAUCCAACAAUAAAGUUUCCAGAGUAACUUUAAUGCUUGCAGCAUCAUUUCUUUCCUUCCACUCAUCAAUUAUUGCCUUUAGAGCUACGCCAACAAUCGAAUUUGUGCUCUUUAGGUUCAAUCCUCACUUUGGACAAACAAUUUCCUCAGUAUUCUCAAACUAACAAACCAUUUGAGAAUUGUUGUCCUCUUAUAUGUUAUUCCACUUUCUAUUGUUAUUGGAUCAUUCAUAAUCUUUUAUAUCAACGGACAGAAGAAUGUAUCAUAUAUGAGCUCCACGUAUUGAGCCAUCUGUGGUAAACUGACAAAGGGACCAGCACUCCAACUUUCAUAGUCAUUUUUGUCUAAACUCUUCCUGCUUUCUAAAUUACCUGAUAACUGUUAUUCACUACAUAAAUUUAAACAUCACUGGAAUAUAAAUUUGUGUCCAUUUGUUCCCUAUCUCACCCUCGUAUGUCCACAGAAAACAAUUAAAGUUGCUCUUUUAACUCUAGAAUUCAAGUUUCAUUAACUACAACAUUUGAACUUUGGAGAGAAUCAAGUUAUGUGUAAAUUGAUUCCUAAUUGCUAUUUUUAGCAUUUAAUUUUCUGGCUGCCUACCAUGCAUUUUUUUUUUCUUUUUUGGCUAAUGUUGCACCAUUGCUUUAUGACAAUUAUUCUUUGUCUGUUAGCUUUUUGGUCAUCUAUCAUGGAAUUGAUUUUUUUUUUUUCCAUUAGUAAUCUCUAAAAAAAUAAAAAAAAUCCCAUUUUGUUGAUCACUUUUUAAGAUUUAGCUGUAAAUCGUAAGUGAUAGGUUUGCUAUGAUAGUACUUGUGGUUAAUUUGGAUAUAUCUUUACUCAUGCUUUUUAAUAUUUGGCUUUAAAUUUAUGAGCAAUGAGUUUUUUUCAGCUGGAUUAUCAUAAGAUUUUUCUUUGGGAUGUUAUAUUUUAUGCAAGCAUGUCUUGUUUCCAAGGCUUGCUCCUUCCUAAAGCUGCUUCACAGUUUCUGCAUUUGGGUACAUGGUUUGUAAUUUGGCCAAUCCACCUGUUAUUGUCUAAAUACUUUGGCAUCUUUCGUGUAGUUCUCUACUAAUAAUACGACACAUGUUUCUACUGCAUUUUAUAACUCACAUUGACUGUCUUACGGGGCUUCAUAUGAGCUCUUGCAGUUGGGAGCUUCUGUACUUCAUCUUGAAGAUCAUAUUGCUAGUUGUUGUGAUUGCCCCCAUUCCAUUUGGAUUGGGUUGUUUCAGUUUGGAGUAGAUUGUAGCAGGGGCUUUUCACGCAGAAGAUAAUGUUUUUAUUGGGAAUAGUAUUUGUUGACCUCGCAAAUUGGACCCUCCACGUGGUCAACCGAUAGCUACUCCACGUAUUCUUCUCUACGCUCAGUCAACGCACGGUCAGAUGCACACGACCGGAACCAGCGAGGGUGGUGGCGACCGCAUACACUCCGACGAUCAAGUUAGCCUCAGGUGAUCGGAACAAUACCUAGGUUGUGCAAAAUAGUGGGGAUGAGAAUAUAUAUUUGCUUGUUAUGGAAAGAUAUGUUGUAAGAGUUUCAUUACCUUUACCUCUUGUCAAACCUUGGGUAUUUAUAGGUGAGGAGAAUCGUUGGAUGUGGGACACGUGUAUGCAUCUGACGGUGUGAGGCGUUUGCUCAUAGGCUUCAAUCAGUCGCGUCUAUAGAGUGGGCGGGUAAUUACUUCUCCCGAGUUGAGUUGACAUAAAGUUGAUACAUCACAUCAACUAGGCUCAUGGAGAUGUCCAAUCAAUUAAACCUUGGGGGCAGAAAGGACCUUGACAUAGAUCUUUUUCUGAAAUUGGCGGCAGAUCCUCUGAUAGAGAGCCUCAAAAUGUAGUGCGCCUCAACUUCAGGGGCUAGGACGCUUCGAUCGAUUCAGUAAAUUGUCUGUAUCUCGUAGUGCAUUAGCAGAUCAACAACAUUGGUGGUGGUGUUACUUCGGAACCACUUCGGAUGGGUGUUGAACACCUCGUAUUAUAACUCCAAGGUUAGAAAUCGGACAGAGAGAUCAGACCCCAGUAGAAUAAAGUUAAUUAAUUUUUGUGGUGGCUUCGACCUCUUUUGUAAUCCAAUUCCAAAUGAAUGAAAUGAAUUUUUUUUGUUAAGUAUUGUUGCUUCUGCUUUUCUAUUGUGUUGAACCGUUUACAUUUGAGUAUAUGAAUGACAAUCACUUAAGUAAACAUGAUGCGCCAUUUACCAAUAAUCGGUUAAUAACAGAAGAUCGGACUAAUUAACAUAUUGAAGAGCUGAGGUAACAAUUUACUAACCGAUGUGACAAAGAACUAAAGUAUCAUUACUUAGAGAAGUUACACCACCCUUCACUAAGGGAUUUUUAGCACUUAGUAAGAUAGAGAAGUUACAAAUGAGAUCGGAUCAUGACAUAUUCAUUAGACAUUGAGAUUGGAUCGGAACACAAGUUCAUCACUGAUCGUACUUCCUCAAGUGUUCGAUGUUCCAUUGAUGAGGGAGUGCUUUCCCUGCCAUGUCUUCAAUUUCAAAAGUGCCAAGUCGGGAUUCCCUAAGGAUGCAGCAAGGACCCUCCCAGUUCGAUCCCAACACUCCGGACCCGGUUGGCUUUGAUGAUUGGAAGACCCUUUUUAGGACGAGGUCCCCCAGACGAAGAGUCCGAUUUCUGACCUUGAAGUUAUAAUAGCGGGUCAUCUUUAUAUGAUACUUUGUCAAGUUCACCUGGGAGGCAUCCCUCCUUUUUUCAAGGAGGUGAAGUUCGUUCAUUCGAGCCUCGUCGUUAUUGAUCUCAUUGAAGUGUAUUUGACGGUACGAUAGGACUCCUACCUCAACCGGGCUCAUGGCCUCGGCUCCGUAGGUCAUUGAGAAUGGUGUCUCCCCUGCUGCAGUUCGGCUAGUUGUUCUAAUGGCCCAGAGGGCGUGGGGAAGCUCAUCGACCCAAGCCCCCUUCGAGAUGUCAAGCUUCAUUUUCAAGGUAUGCUUGAUUGUUUUGUUUACUGCUUCAACUUGCUCAUUUGCUUGUGGGUGAUGAGGCGUUGAGAAAUCCUUCUUUAUGCCCAGUUCGUCGCAUAAGUCUCGCAUUUUCUUGUUGUCGAACUGUUCCCGUUGUCGGAUACUAAGGAGUGGGGAAUGCCGAACCUAUAAACCUAUAAACGAUAUUCUUCCAGACGAAUUUUGUAGUAUUUGCCUCGGUGAUCUCGGCAAGAGGUUCAGCUUUGAUCCACUUGGUAAAAUAGUCGAUGGUGACAAUGGCAAAAGUCGCGCUUCCUCUUCCUUUUGGGAGUGGGCCAAUGAAGUUGAUGCCCUAUUUGGCGAACGGCUAAGGGCCGGUCACUACGGAGAGGCUCUGAGAAGGUUGGCUUUGAAUAUUUGAGAAGCGUUGGCACUUGUCACAUUUCUGGACAAACUGGCAAGUAUCCCUUUCAGGGUCGCCCAAAAGUAGCCUUACCGGAGUACUUUGUGUGCCGGAGCCGUUCCUCCGGGGUGAUUCCCACAGAUUCCCUCAUGGAUUUCCCUGAGUAUAUACAUUCCCUCUUUGCCUCCUACACAUCGGAGAAGUGGCGAGGCGAAGCCUCUUUUGUAGAGGACAUUUUCUUGUAGGACGAAAUGUGCAGCCCUUCUUCUUAACUUCCUUGCCUCGCUUCUAGAAGCUGGUAGUGAUUGGUUCUUAAGAUAGGCGAUGAUGGAUUGCAUCCAUAACGGGGUGCCUUCUAUCCAUAGCAUCUCUUCACCUCCGGAAAUGGAGGGCUUCGAUAAGUGUUCAAUGGGGACAACCUUUAGUAGCUCUGAAUUCUUGCUGCUGGCCAAUUUUGACAGGGCGUCUGCAUGAGUAUUCUCUAGGCGUGGGACUUGAAUCAGCUCGAACCUUUCAAAAUGAGGAACUAGGUCCAGAACCAAUUUCAAGUAUGCAACCAUGCUACUGUCUUUGGCUGCGAAGUUUCCAUUGACCUGACUCACUACAAGUUGAGAAUUGCUGCUUGUUAGAAGCCCUCUAACCUGCAUUUCCUUCGCCAGUCUAAGGCCUGCUAGAAGGGCCUCAUAUUCAGCAGCGUUGUUCGAGGCUUUGAAGCCAAACCUUACUGCGCAAUUUAGUUUGUGGCCUUCGGGCUUUCCAAGUCGAUCCCUGCCUCAGAGCCAACCUCUCCUGAGGAUUCAUCUACGAACAGUUUUCACGUUGGGGGCUUGGCUGGUUCCAUUGUCACCUCCAUUUCUGGGGUUUUGGCAAAUUCAGCCACAAAAUCUACAAAGGCCUGAUCCUUGAUGGCAUGUCGAGGUCGGAAUAGUAGGUCGAACUCACUGAGCUUGAUUGUCCAUUUUAGCAGGCGUCCUGAUGCGUCUGUUCUCUGCAGCACUUGCUUCAAUGGGAAGUUGGUGAGAACUUCAAUUGAGUGGGCCUGGAAGUAUGGCCUCAGUUUCCUUGAGGCUGUGACGAGGGCAAGUGCCAGUUUCUCCAUGUCUGGGUAGCGUGUUUCAGCUAGGAGGAGUGCUUUACUGACAUAGUAUACCGGCAACUGGUGCCCAUUCUCUUCUCUGACUAGGACUGCAUUGACCGCCUCGUCUGAGACCGCCAAGUACAGGAGUAGUGAUUCUUCUGGUUGAGAUUUGGACAACAGGGGCACCUCUCCUAAGUGCUUCUUCUGCGCUUGGAAGGCUUCUUCGCACUCAUAAGUCUAUUGGAACUUCUUUCCUUGUUUCAGCACAUUGAAGAAGGGCAAGAUCUUAUCUGUAGCUCUGGAGAUGAAGCGACUGAGAGCGGCUAUCCGACCAUUGAGGCUUUGGACCUCCUUUGGUUUUUGAGGUGACCUCAUUUCAAGCAAGGUCAUUAUCUUCACUGGGUUUGCUUCGAUUCUUCUUUGGUUUACAAUAUAUCCCAAAAAUUGACCCGAAGCCACUCCAAAGGUGCACUUGAGGGGAUUUAACUUCAUUUUAUAUUUUCUAAGUAUCUAAAAGGUUUGGUCGAGAUGACUUACGUGUUCGAUGGCCUGAAGGCUUUUGACUAGCAUAUUGUCCACGUAGACCUUCAUGGUUUUGUCAAUGAGUUCGGCAAAUAUCAUGUUGACUAGCCUCUGAUAUGUAGCUCUAGCAUUUUUCAAUCCGAAGGGCAUGACUUUGUAGCAGUACGGUCCUCUGUCUGUGAUGAAUGAUGUAGCCUCCUCAUCAGGUCGGAACAUGGGUAUCUGGUUAUACCUUGAGUAUGCAUCCACGAAGCUCAAGAGUUCAUGUCCGACGGUGGAAUCCACAAGUUGGUCUAUCCUUGGAAGUGGGAAACUGUCUUUAGGGCAUGGCUUAUUUAAAUUUGUGAAGUCUACGCACACCUUUUACUUUUCGCUGGGCUUCUUCACCAGGACCGGGUUGGAUAUCCACUUCGAAUAGAUGGCUUCUCUGAUGUAGCUGCUGCGGCUAAGUUGGUGUACUUCGUCUUUCAGCGCCUCAUACCGUUCUGGGUUGAGGGCACGUCUUUUUUGCCUCUGUGGGGCAUCGGAAGAGUUGAUGUUAAGAUGAUGGCAACUGAUCCUUGGAUCUAUUCCCACCACGUCUUCAAUCUUCCAAGCGAAGACAUCCAAGUUCUUUUACAGGAAGCUCACCAUUUCUUUUUUUGCUUCGGGGGACAGUGCCUUUCCUAUUAGCAGGACCUGAUUGGGGUCCUCUGGGUUGGCGAAAAAUGUUUCAAGUUCUUGCAUUGGGGUUGCAUUUAGCUCGAAGUCAAUGAUCCGGGGAUCUAAUUCAUCAAGAGGGUGCCCUUCUUCAGAGGCCUCUUCCAUGUCGACGUCUUCCUCCUUUUCGAAGGUAUGCCCUUGUUCAGGGGCGUCGAGCAUUUUCACGUCCAAAUUGAGUUCACUGACAACUUCAAUUAUGAUCACGUUAACAGUUCGGGGCUCCAAUUUUCGCAGAGAGUUUAAGUAAUAUGUCCUGGAGCCCAUCUGAUCGCACCGUACCGUGGCAAUCCCAUGUUCAGUUUGGAAUUUCAUGCACAAGUAGUGGAUGGAGGUGAUAGCCCAAAGAUCUUUUAAGGCGGGUCUGCCCAAUACUCCAUGGUAGGCUAAUUUGUGGUCUACCACUAAGAAUUUCAUGAAGUGUUGGGCCACUAGAGGAGCUGAACCCAUCUCGAUAGGCAGAGUAAUCCGCCCUCGUGGGACGAUGCUGUCUCCAGUAAAUCCGAACAGUGGAUCGGUCAUGGGGAUCAACCCAUGUUCAAUUUGCAUCUUGUCGAAGGUGGAGCCGAACAGUAUAUUCACCGAACUGCCAUUGUCGACGAGCAUGCGUUUGAGCCCGUUUCUUGCCACUACGGCUCUUACAACCAAUGCGUCACAAUGGGAGUGGUGAACUCCUUGCGUAUCUUUCUGGGAGAAGGUGAUUGGGGCCAUCCUAUUGGCCUCUUGGGACUCGUUGACAAUGUAGGUGAGCAUUGGUGGGUCCUUUGCUUCCCUUGUGUAAUUCCUUUGGGUGUUCCUGGUGUUGCCACCGAUAUGAGGUCCCCCAAUGAUCAUGUCGAUCUCCCUGAUGAUUUGGCCUCCAGAAAAUGGGGCCUGAUCUCUCUGUUUGGACUCUCUUCGGUCCCUUGAUUCUCUUCUCUGAGGUGAUUGCUCUCUAUGCCACUGCUCUCUAUGCCUUCUCUUUCCCCUAUUCGAGGAGGCGGAUCUAUGAGGAUAUUCGUUCCUCCUGGAGGGAUGUGGGUUGCUCCGAUUCGGGCGUCGAGGAGCGUCUCUGCACUCGUUGGUGUCAUGCCCAUGGAGUUGGUAGAAAGUGCAAAACCUUGCCCUUUCCAAGGGCCUGUUUGACCACUUCUUCUUCUUCUUUUUAUUACUAUCAGUUCUUCCAGAUGGCCCUGCUACGCCAAGGAAAUUCUCGUAUGCCAACACCGGCACUGCAUUUAGAGUGGCGGAAGCCAGUGCCUGUCCGGAGGUGGGAGCUAUUGUAUUACCUGCUUGAGUCCAUUGUUGAGUGACAAGGUGUGCUGCGGGUCCUCGACCUACCUGCCUUUGAGGCGGAGGGAGUCCCUGCACGGCACGAUUUCAGUGAUCAAUCAUCUAUUCACUGACGAUCUCAACUCUCAUCAUUUCUACCAGUUCGUCAUAAGUGGUGGGAUUUUUGCUGCGCACAUCCCUCCAGAAUAAAGUGUUCAUGUUGAGGCCGUCUUUCAAGGCCGAAAGGGCUUCUCUGUCAGUGACGUGCUUGCAAUACGUGAUUUCGUCUGUAAACCUGGCGAGAUAGUUUUUCAGCGUCUCUCCAGGGGCCUGCCUCAUAUCUUACAGGGGUUGCACCGGGGUCUUUCCUCUGCGUGAGAGGUACUGGUUCAAGAAUGCCUUCUUCAAAUUCGGCCUGCUCCUAAUGCUCAGGGGAGGAAGUCUGUUGUACCACACUUCAGCAGCUCCACCUAGGGUUAAGUGGAAGGCUCUGCACUUCAAAGUAGGCGAGGCUCCCCUGAGGCUCAUCUAUGUCAUGUAGUUGGUGAGGUGCUUCUUCGGGUCCCCCUUUUCUUCAUACUUGGGGAUCUUGAGGGGCAUGAAAUUUGCAGGCAUUGGUAAACAUCGGAUUUCCUUUGAGAAAGGGAGGUUAUCAUCGUCGUCGUCAAUUUCAUAGGAUCGACAAUGCCCAUCUGACUCUUCAUCAUCUUGAGUGUUCUGGGGAGGUGGAGGUGCUUUUCCUCGACUGGCCCAAUCAACUAAGUCCCUUCUCUUCUUCCUAUUUCUAGGAGGAGGAGGUGCUUGUUCUUGCUCCUGUUCUUGUCGAACUGAUCUUCGCACUGAGCGGACCCUAUUACUAGGGUCCUGCCCUAUUCGGUCGAAGACGCUGACUGACCUUUGUGCUUUAUAUUCUUGAGGGAAAUUGUCCCCCAAUUGUGGUUCUGAUGGCUAGCUCCCUUACACAUUGGAUGUGGCUUCCGCACCCACUUCUCUUUCAAGGGGGUGUUUUCUGUGCUGACUCACGUGGUCUCGGGAACGAGAUGCAGAGGCUUCCUGAAUUGGGUAAGAUCCUUGGGGCAUUUGAGAGCUCUGGUGACCUCGGGCUUGCAUGAGAAGUUCAUGCAUCGCCAUAUUCUGGGCUGCGAUGUCUUUCAUGUCCGCAGCUAUUUGAGUCAUUCCUUUAGUGAGCAUGACUGUUCUUUCAUCUCGACGACGUCGGUGAUGGGGUCUCUGGUGAGUGACAUUGUUACGGAGCACCUCUUCUUCAGAGGCCUCUCUCAUAGGGUUCUCGUCUUCAUGGUUGUAACUUAUCUUAUCUUUUUUUUCAAGGGUGAUAAGAACUUGAAUUAUUACUCGACUUUGCUCUUUUUCAAGAACGUGCCCUUUUCAGGGUAAGCCACUAGUUUUUCGGUGGUUUCUCCAGUGGAGAAUGCAGAACUUUGGACGGGAAGUUUCCCACAGACGGCGGCAAUCUGUUGACCUCGCAAAUUGGACCCUCCACAUGGCCAACCGAUAGCUACUCCACGUAUUCCUCUCUGCGCACAGUGAACGCACGGUCAGAUGCACAUGGUCGGAACCAGGGGGUAGUGGCGGCCGCAUACACUUCGACGGUCAAGUUAGCUUUAGGUGAGCGGAACAAUACCUAGGUUGUGCAAAAUAGUGGGGAGGAGAAUAUAUAUUUGCUUGUUAUGGAAACCUAUGUUGUAAGAGUUUCAUUACCUUUGCCUCUUGUUAAACCUUGGGUAUUUAUAGGUGAUGAGAGCAGUUGGAUGUGGGAAACGUGUAUGCAUCUGAUAGUGUGAGGUGUUUGCUCAUAGGCGUCAAUCAGUUGCGUCUAUAGAAUGGGCGGAUAAUUACUUCUCCCGAGUUGAGUUGACAUAAAGUUGAUACGUUACAUCAACUAGGCUCAUGGAGACGUCAAAUCAAUUAAACCUUGGGGGCAGAAAGGAUCUUGACAUAGAUUUCUUUUUGAAAUUGACGGCGGAUUCUCUGACAAAGAGCCUCGGAAUGUAGUGCGCCUCGGCUUCAGGGGCGAGGACGCUUCGGUCGGUUCAGUAGAUUGUCUGUGCCUCGCAGUGCGUUAGCAGAUUGACAACAUUGGUGGUGGCGUCACUUCGGAACCACUUCGAAUGGGUGUUAAACACCUCGUAUAACGUGAUGAUAGACUUUUCGAAGUGGUUCAGAUAGGAGCGUAACAAUAUUGAUUGGAGAGACACUUUUAAAAGAGCAUACAAAGGUAAUAAUGAACUAUGUUGCUAGUUAACCAAACAAUUUCAAAUUGCUGACAACCAUCAAUAUAUUCAUUGACAUUUGAUGAGUUUCAGAGCAACAUGGGAAAUUUUGUAAAGUUAGGUCAAUGAACAAGGACGACUUGCUAAAAAAUAUUUGGAGUGCAGAAAACUAUGGGAUCCAAUAAUGGAGGCAGUGGGGGGCGAAGCCAAGAAUGGGGUGGCAAUCUACAGAGGCGGGGAUCGUUCACACUGCCAUGUACAUUGAGUCAGAAGACAGUUGAUUAGGUUUCGAAGGAUAUAUCAAAAGAGUCUGGUGUCAGGAAGGAUGGGAGUGGUAUCGUAUAUUUUUAGGAGAAAUCGUGCUUUGGAGAAGGAUGUAGAAAGGAAUCAAAAGAAAAUGAUAAAAAACAGAGAGUCAGUUACAAGAUUAAGGGAUUGAAAGUAGGUAAAUAUCUCAAAGUUUUUGUUUAUAUUUUCAAAUUUUUUAUGGCAUGUAUGUGACUAUUUUCAUUAUCACGUGUCAAAAUAGUGGACUUAUGAAUCGUAAAUACAAUGUUUAACGGAAAAUCUAAUCAAAUGCUCGGAAAAUCCAUUCUUAGAAAUUUGCCAUCUCUCUAAUUAUGUGGAGGUAAUUGAAGAUUCCAGACACUGAAAAAAUUUGUUGUUUCCAUGAAACUUAGAAUAAAAAUUGGACACAUGCAAGACUGCUGCUUAUUGAGAAAGAUAUCAGAUAAAUCUAAUUUCAGAGAAAAAGUUAAGAAAAUAAGUAAAUCGACAGGUUAACUUUCAUCUACUUAUCCCUUUAAGGAUUUUGAUUAUCACUGACAUUAUGCUUUUAUCAUGUUGCAUAUGGCAAUCUAAUGUGUCAAACAGAUGAAUUCACGUCCUGAGAAGUUUAAAGCUUCCAUUUGCUACAAGAUAAUAUAGUAUGUGCUUUAAGAAACAAUAAUAGUUUGUUUUACUCCUGCAAUUGUUACACAAUGUUAACACGAUUCUUGUCGUAAAUUUUAAUUAAUCGGUCAAUUAUGUUAUUGUUUACAACGCAUAUUAACUUCCAUUAAACCAUUUUUUAUUUAGUGUUUUCCAGGCAUACUCUACUAUGGAGUUGAAAGCAGAAGUUGCAAAACUGAAGGAAGAAAACCAAGAAUUGCGGAAGAAACUGGGAAGCGUGAAUUUGACUAAUCUCCAUUUCCAUUUCUGUAACUUCUUAUUCUUAUUAAAUUAUAUCUGAUUUAUACCAUUUGGGUAUUCUAUUAUGUAGGCAGGAAUUAUGGAAUUGAUGAGGAAUCAGAUACCUGUCACCGUAAUCUUUCCCUUUAAAAAAAUUUAACUUACAGGUAUUUGGUGAAACCUGGCCAAUUGUUUAUUUUCUACAUUGGGUCAAGAUAGAACUCAUUGCUUUUAAUUAAUCUUCUGUAUCCCUUAUCUCACUUACGGAUUUUCAUAGAGAGCAUGUCCAGAAAAAGUAGAAGUUUACUUAAAUUAACAAAUUUUUUUUUGGAUUCGUUGCCUUUUCCUUACUUCCAAGUAAAAACUUACUUUCAAAUUAUGACCAAUUAAGGGAAUUUCUAACUAUGACCAAUUAAGUGAAUUAUAUAUUUAUUCAUUUAAUCUUAUCCAAAGAAAAAAAGAAAAAAGAAAACCCUCAUAGUAAAGGCAAAGUUCAUACUGUUCUUGCGUUCAGAGAUGGAGGUAGUGGGUGGCAGCCCAUAUUAUUUUGAGGAAAUUAGGCCCUAUGCCCUCUUUUUCUAAGUGUUCUGGUUAAUACCCUUCAAUUAAUUAAACAUUUUAAGAAAGUACUAAUUACGUCCUAAAUUCUAACCAAAAGCCAGCUCAGUUAACUACAGCAAACCCAAACCUAAACCUAACUCUCCAUAUUCCUCAUUCGUAGAAAUUGUCAGCUUGCAAAAUUCACCAAGCACCUUCCGUUGAUCUCUUCUCCGAGCAAAAAAUACGACUCUAAAUCUCCAUUUUUGACCCAUUUUUUGUUGAUUUCUCCUUUGUCUCCCCUUUUUACGUCUUCAUUUUCUCAUUUUCAUUUCGACCCCAAAAUUUUGUAAACCUUGUCCCCAAAUCGAUUUUGCCCCACAAUCGAAAGACCUCGAAGUUCGAUUGUUGUAUUCCUUAAUGCACGUUCAAUUUUCAGUCAUUUUGAUUCUCAUUUUGUGGAGAUCUUAGAUACCAAUCCUAAAAAUCCCAAAUAGUCGAAACCCUAACUCGUUCCGAUCAAAAUGUAAUCUGAGUCCAAUUUCGACUUAUUCACUCCAACGCCGACUUUGAUACGAAAAUUCGACCCUUAUUUCUGUAAUGGUUAGAGAAAGUAGGUUGAAGAGGAAAAGAGAUAUUGAUGAAGAACCAUCUUCGAAGAAGAAGAAAUCUUAUAAACCCGAGGUAGCAUUAAUUUUUUUAGCUUCCGCUCUUAUGUGUACGUUUUAUUCUUCGUUCCUUUCCCAUUUUGAUAUUUUACUGGUUUUGAUGUUUCAUAUGUGACUUUUUUAGUUUUGUUCCAUGCCUUUUGUUUUGUAUAAAAUGAAAUAUGUAUACAACAUUCCAAAAUACUGCACGAACCAAAGUUUCAUAGAAUUUAGAAGCAUUAUUUUGUGGUCCUUGAUUUUGUUUCUAAGAGAAAAUGGGGAAUUAUAUUGAAUAGUUCAUAUAGGAUUUUGGGAUUAUUGGAUUGUUGAGAUUAGAGUGGACAUGGGGAGAUUGUGGAAGACAACAUAAGAUUGGUGGGUCUAGAAGCUAUGGUGGAAUGUGUAUGAUACAGUUGUCUAAUGAUGUAGUGGGUCAUGUGAUUGUAUGAUGACCACAGAGUACAACCUUUGUUCUUAAGUUUUGGGAAUUCCAAUAAAUGUUAGUAUAUUGAUAUAACUUUCUCAUCAUAAUGACAUUCAUGUAUUUACCGUGGAGUCUUGUUGCUGUGUUUUGAUGAUGAAGCAUAUUUGUGGUGAUUUUGUCACUUUUUUUUUUGUUUUAUGUCAUCUUUUUUAUAGUUUGUGUCACUUUUUGGGCUCUAUGUCACUUUUUCGACUUUAUGUCACAUUUUUUAUAGUUUGUGUCAUUAGUUUAGCACUAUAUUCAAAGAAUCGUUGAUUGCUCAAGAUUUCUUAGCUACUUGUUCACAGUAAGACAGAUUAGCUAUUAAUGGUUUUUCUUUAUAUUCAAUAGAGGAUAUGUUACUAGAAUUAUAAAUGUAGUUAUAUUGAUGACUUUUGAAAGUAUAAAUAAAGUUUGGAUGGAAAAUACGGGUGUAUAUAGUUAGAUACAAUGACCCUAUAAAGUUUGUCAUACGUUUGUAUUGCUGUGAAAGAAUACAGGGGCUAGUUACAGUGGAGUCUCAUUGUUGUGUUUUGAUGAGGAAGCAUCUUUGUGAUGAUUUUGUCAUUUUUUUUGAUUUUUUGUCACCUUUUUUAUAGUUGUGUCACUUUUUGGAUUCUGUGUCAUAUUUUUUAUAAUUUGUGUCACUUUUUUUAUUUAUUGUCAUUUUUUUAGUAUAUGCACUCUAUUAGUUGAUGUGAACUACAAACAUGUUUUUUUGUUAUUGUUAGCAUGUUACAUGGUUAUAUAUUAGCACUAUAUUUCUGGUGAAAAUUCAAAGAAAAUAAUCAUAACCUAUUUGGUCUUUGUCGGUCACCUAAUCCAUGUUUUUAGGGAGAGAGUCCAGCUUAUAGUCCAUUAGCACUGCAUAUUUGUCACUGUUUUAUGUCACUUUUUUUUAAAGUUUUUGUCACUUUUUUUAUUCUCUUUCACUUUUUUUUUAACUCUGUGUCACUUUUUAUUUUUUAUUUUAUGUCACUUUUCCAAGUGUAUGCACUCUUUCAGUUACAAUCACGUUUUCAAUCAUUUGAGUGCAUUAAAUUAUUUUUUGUCCAGCUUAUAGUCCAUUGAUAGUGCACUAUAUGUCACUUUUUUUUUUUGGUCACUUUUCCAAGUGUAUGCACUUUUUUAGUUACAAACAUUUUUUCAAUCAUUUGAGUGCAUUAAAUUCUUUUUUGUCCAGCUUAUAGUCCAUUAGCAUUGCACUAUGUGUCACUUUUUUUUUUUUUUUUUUAGUUUGUCACUUUUUUUAUUUUAUGUCACUUUUCCAAGUGUAUGCACUCUUUCAGUUACAAACAUGUUUUCAAUCAUCUGAAUGCAUUAAAUUCUUUUUUGUCCAUUGGCAGUGCACUAUAUGUCACUUUUUUUUUUUAUUUAUAGUUUUUGUCACUUUUUUGACUAUGUGUCACUUUUUUUAACUUCAUGUUACUUUUCUAAGUGUAUGUACUCUUUUGUUUACAAACUUGUUUUCAAUCAUUAUAACAUGUUUGAAAUGUGUAUGUUAUAGACUUUCAUAAUGCAUGUGAUGAGUGAUUUACGCUCAUUAUAUUAUGCCAUUAAUUUCAUGAUUUUGCUAUUUUAAAGAGUAUUUUAGAAGUGCUAACAAGUGAUUUUGGUGUUGUUUUGUAGAUUGAUGGAAGUGGAGAAAACAAGAUCUAAAAGAGGCCAAAGGAAGAAAAUAGGCGAAAGUUAGCGAAAUUGGAUGACAUGACCAAAAUGUAAGAGAUCCAAAGUUCGAGGAUUAAAAUGCAAUUAAUCAAAAGUCGUGUUGAAACUCACGAUGAAGAUCCGAGAGCGCUAGGAGUCAAUUGGAUGAAGG
This 14629-nucleotide long non-coding RNA is filed under the name Olea europaea subsp. europaea. Lineage: Eukaryota; Viridiplantae; Streptophyta; Magnoliopsida; Lamiales; Oleaceae. The record is from RNAcentral.